UGUUUGUGCACUGUUUUGUUGAGCUCUGUUGUGACUUAUUUAACAUUUCUUCCAGUUUCACAGGUUAAAGACUUUUUGAAGUAAAGAGGAGCAUCUCAACUGAACCUGAUGUCUAUCAUGGAUAUUUAACUGCAGUUCUGUGAGUAUCCCAACUUAACCAUGAAGCAUAACUGCAAACUGUAAGUCAUUAAUUUCUCAUUACUCUUGGGCACAUUAAUGUAUGUUGGCUUCCUGGUGAGUUAACCUGUUACCUGAAGGUUGAUCUGAGUAGCAAGGAUUUUUUUAUUGGUUCAUGGGUUACUUAGGUGUUUGGUUUAUGUUGGUUUUAAUGAUUUGAUAAAAUGGUUACAGGCUCCAUGUUGUUGUUGUAAGCUGGAGUAAUGGGUUAGGUUCUGAGCUGUCAAGCGAUUAAAAUAUUUAAUCGCAUUAAUGUCAUAGUUAACUCACGAUUAAUCGCAAAUUCUUUUUCUAUGCUAAAUAUAAUAAUUCUUAUCAUUUUAAUUCUCUUAUCAACAUGGUGAAGUGCAUCGGCUUGCCUUGUGCAAAUUAUUUUUUAUUGAUAACAACAUUGGCAUAUACUGAUCAAAACAGGACGAUACAAAAAAAGAGCCUAUAGUGCAAUUAAACGACUGCUUUGAACAAAUGUCAUUUGAACAUAGCAGUCAGGCUACUGCUUCUUUGUUUUGAGCCAAAGAAACAUUAUUAUUUAUUUUUUUAAUAAAAUAAUUGCGUUAAUCGCGCGAUAAAGUUUUUAACGCUGUUAAAAUUGCUUUGCGUUAACGCCGUUAAUAACGUGUUUAACUGACAGCUCUAGUUCUGAUAUCUUCAGUCUUCUUUCAUUCUACUCUCCUGAGCUCUGCAUAUUCAUCACACGAGUGUUGCUUUGAUGCUUGAUGAGGGUGUGGUCUGAGUGAGCAGAGGUGCAUACUGGGAUACAGAGCUGUCUGAAGUCUACAGGUCUGUAGACACGCCCCCUCAGGGGAAACCGAGUGUUUGAGAAACUGUCGUGACGUCAGUUACAUGGACUGGAAUGUUCUUAAAGAUGGAGACAGGGAUUCAGAAGGAGAAACACCAGGGGGAGAUGAGGGGGCUCCUCAUCUCAACGACUAAAACACAACUUCAGUCUGACACGGAACCAUGGAACGCAUUCAACAGUCCCCUCCAGGCAUCGUGACUACUCAGGAACAGUUUCAUUUCCAAGAAGGUCUUAUUUGGGGCCAUCCCCAUAUGGAUCCUGCUCAAGAGCCACCCCCCUCCACUGGGUGGUCUUCUGAACAGAUGACCUUCUUCCUGUCCUCAAGCUGACUAAAGCUGCACCGUUUGCAUCUGUGAAGCCCCCUCAUUCAGGAAACCACUGGACUACAAAGACAUGACUUCAGAGAAGUUGAAUCAACCUGGGACACAUUUUGGAGACGCCAAGCAUAAUCCAUCACCAAUGUGGGACGCCACUGAAGAAUGUUGUACAUAAUUUACGUCUCUGGAGACAUUGGUUGUUCUGUUAUGGGUGCCCUGGCAGGAGAGCUGGGGGGGGGGUGAUGGAAUGUUAUUUGGCAUGAGGUUUUUACCCUGCAUGAUUGUUUGGCCUUUUAUGGCUCAGUGGUGUGUGUGUGUGUGUGUGUGUGUGUGUGUGUGUGUGUGUUUGGGUUUGAAAUUUUCGAAAUUUGAAAUUGGGUUUGAAAUUGUCGAUUUUUAAGCAUCGCUGUGUGUGUGUGUGUGUCUCCCACUCACACCUGGCAUGGGGUUCUACGUGCCUGUCCUGGGUUCUAUGUGUGUGUGUCCGGCUUGCUUUGACAGUGAUAAUGUUCAUACGGGGGUCUGUGUGAUUGGCUUGGGAUAUUGGAAUGGUCAUCUAAAUCAUACCUGAUGGACGGCCACACGUUUACUUAAGGGCCUCCAGUAGACAUGGAGAGCCCUGAGCGACGCUCCGGAGCGAGAUCCAACACACUGGGCAGGAAGGAGAGUAUCCAACUCGAGUGUAAAAGGAUGCAAGCGGCGUGUUCAGAUCAGUGACUUCAAACUAGGACUACACCAAUCAGGAUCAAUGGAGGAUGGACAUCAAAAGGAAUUCCACAAGGGGAGUCUGACGUUGGAAAGGGACCUAAAUGGAUAUUCAAGAUGACCUUCAGACCUGUAAUGAGACGGCUCUUCCUUCCUACCUGGCUGGAUUGAUGGAGAGCCCUGUGGAUCUUGUCUUGCUCUCAGUUGCACGUCUUCUCAGGCUGAACUGUAUUUGUUUCGAACAGGACUAGCUGAACAAUUGGUUGCCUUAAAUCAGAACCAAUCCGGGAACUCCAGCUAGUGCGCUCUUCGAGCUAAAGUUGUGCUCUUCAGCUGAGGAGGUAAGGAAACCUUCACUGGGGCUUCAAGGUGUAAAGAGGAGAAUGUUUCAAAGUGUUCCAUGGUACUCUGAUGAAGACCGUUGUGUUCCACUGGCUGAGAGGAAGAACCCACACAUCUUCCUCUUGGCCUUUCUCCUCUGAGAAUCCUGGCGCCAUCUUGAAGGAUAUUCCAGCUCACGUAACUGAUGUCACGACAGAUUCUCAAACACUUGGUUUCUCCUGUGGAACGUGUCUAUGGAACUGAAGACUUCAGACAGCACUGUAUCCCAGCAUGCAUCUCUACUCACUCAGACCACACCCCCAUGAGUAGGAUGCAACACUCUAGUGAUGGAGAUGUAGAGUUUUAUAAGUAAUGAGGGAGCAGUCUAAGGGGAUUAGAACACAAUGGAAUGUCAAUUCUGUAAAUCUUUAAACCAUGAAGAUGGUUGGUAGUUCAGGAAUUGGGCUUCUUUUUAUGAUGGGCAGUCCUUUCACUCAGAUAUAAAAACAACUUGAGUUUGAUAUUAAAUACAUACUGACACGUACGUCGUACAAUAUGUUGUUAAUUUCCGAUGGUUGCGCCGUACUUUUAACCAGGAUGACGUUGCGGGACUCUCACUGCGUACAAAACAGCGUUCUACUUGCGGGCCCAUUUUUGACAUCGGGGAAGGCUGAAAAUCAUUUCAAGGUGGAAGAUAAUUUGACAUUUCUUCAACGGAACCCAGCACCUGAAUAUGGCUGAGUAUAUUUGAUUUAAUAUCGAUACUGCUUAGUGUUCUUUGUUACUUCAGCUUUUGUACGUUCUAAAUAUCUGCUGUCAUUAAUUGCCACAGAAGUUAAACCCUACCCAAUGGAAUGACGUUAAACAACGACUUUGGUGCAGUUAUCGACUGGAUAAUAUCAAAGCUAAAAUAAUGGCCGUAAUUCCCACAUGUUACAGUAGAAGAUACUCUAGAACUGUACAAGGUUAAAAGGUAACAUGUAGUUUGUCCCAAGGUGUCUGCCUCCUCACCCAGAGCAAGACCUCCACCUCCUCACCCAGAGCCAGACCUCCACCUUCUGUCAGAAGUCCUCCAGAACAGCUGAAAGGCGAGGCUGAGAGGCUGGGGACCGGAGGAUUGUGGUGCCAGGGUGGACCGGAGACUGAGGCUGGAGACCAGGGGCCUGCAGCACCGGACCAGAGGACCAGGAAUCCAUGGCUGAAGAAGCUGAUGGAGCAGUCGUGCUGAAGGCCCUGCCUGGUGGAGGAGCUGGUGGAGGCCCUGCCUGGUGAAGGACGUCUGUCGUGGGACCAGAACUCUGUCUGAGGAGAGCUGCUGGAGGAGCUGAGACGCUGGAGGAGGACGACUAGGAAUCGACCAACAAGGAUUCCUCGUAAGUUUGUAUUUACUUACAUGGUUGACUUAAAGGGCAAAAUACAGCUGUUACUUUGACAUGCGUUAACCAAAUACCGCUGAGUUUUCUUACUAGAACGUGUUUCUGGAGCGGAGACGAGCUGGUAGGGGAGCCGUGAAUCUGGAGGAUGACCAUCACUCUACCAACAAGGAUUACUUUAGGGCCAGACUCGCGCUGUUUGUUCCAGACCAGGACUCUGGCUGAGGAGAGCUGAUGGAGUAGCCAAGACUCUGGAGGACGACAUCACUCCACCAACCAGGAUCCUCAGACGAAUUACGUUUGUAACGAGACCAGGAAUCUGGAGGACUGAUGGAGAAGCCGUACAUCUGGAAGGCAAAUCCUGAGGACCACCAGGACUCUACCAUCAAGGAUUCCUCAUAAGUUUGCAUUAUCUGGACAUAGUGGACUAGACACACCUGAGCUGAACCUCACCUGAUCCUGUUUGGUCGGGGGUAGACACACCUGAGCUAAACCCGCCCUGAUCCUGACAUCCUGCUGGUCCCGUCUCCUCAGUUCAUCUGAGCCUCGUCCUCCAGAAGACCUGCUGAGCUCAGCUGUCUGAGGCUGAUGGAUCAAUGACCUCCAGUGGGAGUGAUCUUCUUGACCCCACAUGUAACCGUGUGCUUCCACACGCCUUUCCCUCACGUCUGUCACUAACCUCACUACUCUUUACUGCUUCCUCUUUUCUUCCUUCUCUGUGGUUCAAACCUUUACACUGAAGGCGCGUCUUCCUGCCCUCAGAGGGUUUAGCGUUAGGGUUGAGAGUCAGGGUUUAGAGUCAGGGACAGAGCUGGUCAGGGAGGACUGCUUUUACACAAACCUCUUCACUUGCUUUCGGAAUGGUGGUGACAUUUUGAAAAGAUUCAUUUGGGAAAAUGUUUUCCUCUGCUUUCCUUUAAAAAAAUUGUAUUAAACUUCUGUCAAGUGUUUUUGUUUAUAUAUUAAAAUCCCACAUUGACUUCUACAUGUUUGGUGCGGUUC
Molecule: long non-coding RNA, 4694 nt
Organism: Gadus chalcogrammus (walleye pollock)
Lineage: Eukaryota; Metazoa; Chordata; Actinopteri; Gadiformes; Gadidae
Exons: 8
Source: RefSeq, a predicted model, not a curated record